Molecule: ribosomal RNA, 465 nt
Filed under: uncultured bacterium
Lineage: Bacteria
Description: partial 16S ribosomal RNA
Rfam family: Bacterial small subunit ribosomal RNA
Source: RNAcentral
GACGAACGCUGGCGGCGUGCUUAACACAUGCAAGUCGUACGGUAAGGCCCUUUCGGGGGUACACGAGUGGCGAACGGGUGAGUAACACGUGAGUAACCUGCCCACAACUUUGGGAUAACGCUAGGAAACUGGUGCUAAUACUGGAUAUGUGCUCCUGCUGCACGGUGGGGGUUGGAAAGCUCCGGCGGUUGUGGAUGGACUCGCGGCCUAUCAGCUUGUUGGUGGGGUAGUGGCCUACCAAGGCGGCGACGGGUAGCCGGCCUGAGAGGGUGACCGGCCACAUUGGGACUGAGAUACGGCCCAGACUCCUACGGGAGGCAGCAGUGGGGAAUAUUGCACAAUGGGCGCAAGCCUGACGCAGCAACGCCGCGUGCGGGAUGACGGCCUUCGGGUUGUAAACCGAUUUCAGCAGGGACGAAGCUUUUUGUGACGGUACCUGCAGAAGAAGCACCGGCUAACUACGUG